UUCGGUGACGAGGUGCCAAUCUUUUAUUAGCCAAUUAGUGUCGGUAAGAGAUGAACGUCGGCUACCUACCGGAGGGGGUCGGGGGGUCUAAAAUAACUUACUGUUGUUACCGAAACUGAAUCAGGGGGUUUUAUCUGUGUGUUAGCGGCUACAAACGUAAGAGUGAGCGUGUUUGGAGCAGCUUCGGCCGGAAAUUAUACAGAACGUCGGCAGUUUCUGGUGGCAUCAGUGCUAGUUAGCCUCGCCCCUGCUAGCUCGGAGAAGAAGGAGCCUGCGUGUGGGAGGAUAUUUUGCGCCAGGUUUCCGAUGUGCCGUGCGCAUCCUGCUGCUGCUCCUGUAGAGGGCGCUCGGGAGUCCACGCUGUUGUCAGGAAAGCUGCUGCUGCCGCUGCUGCACGUGGGCCAGGUUUCAGGACCGGUUUCUCCAUCUCAUCUCACCUUUCUCCAUGAGGAAACUCUGCUGCUAACCGUUUCUGAAUUUCCAAGGACCAUAACUCCAAAAACAACCCAGCCCCCGUCUUAAUUCCCAGAGCCAGAGGCUGUGGGAAGGAGGAGGCGUGAU
Molecule: long non-coding RNA, 561 nt
Organism: Scatophagus argus
Lineage: Eukaryota; Metazoa; Chordata; Actinopteri; Scatophagidae
Exons: 3
Source: RefSeq, a predicted model, not a curated record